This 666-nucleotide long non-coding RNA is filed under the name Cottoperca gobio. RNAcentral's name for it is "lncRNA (ENSCGOG00000020437.1)". Lineage: Eukaryota; Metazoa; Chordata; Actinopteri; Perciformes; Bovichtidae. The record is from RNAcentral.
GUGGGUAGGGGGUCCUGGGGAAGCUGAAGUCCAGGACUGCAGGUGUACUGGUCCCCAGAGAAGGCCCGCCAAGCAGCACGGCCCCGCCGGACUGGUCACAGGAGGGUUCAGUGUGGUUUGCAGUAUAGGCUGUUUGACCUUCUGGAUCCAUGUCAUCAUAUACCCUCCUGUGGUUGUUUGAUGUGCAGUCCGACGGAGUAUGCCAACCAGCAGAGCCCAAACAGGAACCAGCACUACCUGCAGAGGAACAGCAGAGGGGGGGAGAAAGAAAAGCAGUGUUAGGGGGUGUGUGGACCCGGGCCACCACCAACCUGCGCCGGGUGCCACCCGGGAUGUUCAUAGAGCAGAUUGAAUGUCUGGAGAAAGAGAAAGCAGCUCUGUCUCAGGAGAAGAGAGAGACGGAUGAGUUCUUGUCUCUUGAGAUCAAGUUCAUGAAAGAGUAUGAGAAUGAGUUGCAAAAUGAGAUCACCGACUUGAAAAAGACCAUCGAAGGCUCUGAGCUUCAAUGCCGAGAGCUUCAGAACAAGCUAGAAAAGCUGACUGAUGAACUGAAGAAGAAAACUGAAUUUGCAGAGGACCUUCAGAGUAUGGUAUGUGUCUUUUUAAUUGUUAGUGUUGGGCGUUAUGAUGAUGUAUACUGUUUAAUGGUAGAAAUGUUUCCACCUG